RNAcentral lists this ribosomal RNA (469 nucleotides) under uncultured bacterium. Its description in RNAcentral is "partial 16S ribosomal RNA". It matches the Rfam family "Bacterial small subunit ribosomal RNA", at positions 28 to 507 of the family's 1533-position model. The record is from RNAcentral.
GACGAACGCUGGCGGCGUGCUUAACACAUGCAAGUCGAACGGAAAGGCCCUGCUUGCAGGGUGCUCGAGUGGCGAACGGGUGAGUAACACGUGGGUGAUCUGCCCCUUACUUUGGGAUAAGCCUGGGAAACUGGGUCUAGUACUGGAUAGGACCAUGCUGUAGGUGGUGUGGUGGAAAGAUUAGUUUCGGUAAGGGAUGAGCUCGCGGCCUAUCAGCUUGUUGGUGGGGUAAUGGCCUACCAAGGCGUCGACGGGUAGCCGGCCUGAGAGGGUGGACGGCCACAUUGGGACUGAGAUACGGCCCAGACUCCUACGGGAGGCAGCAGUGGGGAAUAUUGCACAAUGGGCGCAAGCCGGAUGCAGCGACGCCGCGUGGGGGAUGACGGCCUUCGGGUUGUAAACUCCUUUCAGCCAUGACGAAGCCCUUGUGGUGACGGUAGUGGUAGAAGAAGCACCGGCUAACUACGUG